UGGGUGUCCAGGGCGGGGUGGGGGCAGCAGCAGGGGCGCUGUGACAGGGUGUGGCCGCUGCUAGAGGAGGUCACUCUCACCCUGGGACCGUCGCAGGAAGUGUGAGCUCCGCGUACAGCUACCGACAGCUCUGUGCGCCUUACACGCCCCUUAGAUAAGGCCCCGGGGGGUGGGGGGCUGCUCACUGAACCCCCAGUCUUCUGGAUUGAACGGACCAGUCCUGCCAGGGAGCCUGAGGCAUGGCACCCAGGAGCCCCAGGGAAGGCAUGUGCCCGGGUCAGCUUGUCUCUGCCCCCCGCCUCCCCGUCCCGCGUGGCUCUCGAGGUGGGCCCUGUACCCCUGCCGGGACCUGCGCGCGUCAGAACUUUCUGUCCUGUGGGCCCAUGUGGAACCACGCUCUCCUGCCAGCCCCCGGGCUCCAGUUCAUGGAGCCAUAGCAGGGACUCCUGCCAGAGAGGCAGGGUGGCAGGAGGGGACCCCACGGCUGCCUGGUGAUGCUGCAAGACCCUUUCAUGUUGUUGAGUCUCCAGUGGCUCCCUGUUUCCUGCUGGGACAAAUCCACGCCUACUCCUUGGCAGGCCGGGGCCCUGGGGUCCAAGCCUCUGCUCUUCCAAACUCCUGCUGCAGGGGCCCUGCUGUGCGCCCACACCUGCCAGGCUGGUCUCUCCAGCGGUCCCUGCUCUAUCUUCACGUGGGCCUUCUCCCCAUCACAAGCACAACUGGACCCUGGAAAGGGGUCUCCCCGCCCCCAUCCCUGCCAUGCAGCCAGGACCCUGGAGAGGCAGUGAGACCCGGCUCUCCUGAUGGGCACAGUGGGUGUCCUGGGCAGUCCUGGGUCACCCUCCCUUUCACCCACCAUGGGGCAGGUGGCAUCAGCUUGCUGCCCAUUCCGGGGGGGAUGGACGGCGCGCUCUCUGGGCGCUGUGGACCCACUCAUGGCCGGAAUGGUCGGGCGGUCCCCGGGAGAGGACCAUGGCAGGUGACCGACUGGAGGUUAGUGCCCCUCCCCCCAGUGUGGCCCAAGUGCUGCGUGUUUGCUGGAAUCAGGGAGCCCGGCCAGGAGCGGACCCGGGUUCCAGGGUGAGCCAGGCCCCUAGGACCCCG
RNAcentral lists this long non-coding RNA (1104 nucleotides) under Sus scrofa (pig). Its description in RNAcentral is "lncRNA (ENSSSCG00070012602.1)". The record is from RNAcentral. Lineage: Eukaryota; Metazoa; Chordata; Mammalia; Artiodactyla; Suidae.